RNAcentral lists this long non-coding RNA (3039 nucleotides) under Homo sapiens (human). RNAcentral describes it as "synapse stability regulating cerebellar lncRNA". The record is from RNAcentral. Lineage: Eukaryota; Metazoa; Chordata; Mammalia; Primates; Hominidae.
CAGGGUUGGGCUCUCGCCGUGAGUCGACGAAGGGAGCGCGGGCGCGCGCCCGCGUCCGCGCACUGAGAGUCGCCUCGGCCGCUCGCUUUCUCGACUCCCGCCUCGCGCCUCGAUCCUGUUCCGCCUCCCUCGGCCCUCCUGCCCGCCCCCACUCGUCGGCCCUCAGGUUCCUGGAAAGUGAAAAUUUCAUUUCUUUGUGGACAGCUCAGAGACCUAAUAGGAUGGGGUCUUAGAGAAACAUCUUUUGAGCCACAGACUUCUUUGUUACCAGAAGGAAAAUGAAAGAAGAAAUUUAAAUACCACUUGAAGAGAGGUAAAUAAAUGAGAAAUGGGGCUGAGAGGGCGGGUAUUUUUUUAAAAAUUCAUUAAAUGGAAAAAUCCACAAAUGUUAAUUCUGGUAGAUUUCUUAGAAAUUACAUCAGAGGAGCAUGCUUGGUCUUCCCACCCUCAUUAGGCCUCAGUGACAGGUACUUGAACAACUGAGCCCCUAAUGUGCAUGCUCCCCCACCCCUGAAGCCAGUCUCUGCCCUCCUCUUCCCUCCUCUUGCCCCUGGAAGCUGAUCGCCACCAACUGGCCUCUGGGUGGAUUUGGCCAAUGGAAGCACCUGUAGAGGGAAGAGAGUGAGGUUAGGAUAUUUCUUCCUGCUGUCUCCGUGCUUCCCUGCAGAGAGUGUGAAGAAAUGACCCUGAAAAGCCUCUGGCAGAGGAUUCUUCUUUCAGGAUGGUGUCGCCUCCUCAGCAGCCCAUCCUCCUCCCCUGGACUCAAGCUCUCAUUCCAGUAACACUCCUUCCUCCUUCUCCAUCUUCAGGGGGAGGUUUGCCAGUCGGUGGGUUCUAAGCAUAUCUCGCUGAUUCCCCCCAACCCUGCCGACACCUCUGUAGGUCGUCCCUUCAUUAAAAUCUCUCCAUUUGAACUAUCUGAGUUUAAUUCCAUUUCCUCCUGGUAUCUCAGUGAUACACGGUAUCAGUACAAAAAUCUCGCUUCACCUUCAGAACCAACAGAUUUGAGACAUUUUAUCCUCUGUGGAACCAUUAGUUAUUUUGUCAUUGGUUGUAUCAGAAAAAAAAAUCAGGAAUGCAAAUCCUUCUUUAUUACAGAUUCAGAUUUGCAUAUUACCAAUGUUAUAUAUUUUAAACAAAACUAUUCAUCAUAAGUUUUAAAAAUUAACUACUGGAGUAGUUAAUGAAUCUGAAUGUAAUUAUGUAGCUUUCAUAAUAUUAAAGUAAAAAUACUAAAAGAAGUAUUUCUUAAAGAAGCAAAUGCUCAAUCUCCAAGUAAAUUUUAUUCUAUGCUCUUCCGGUAUAAGAAUAUGUUAAUAUCUUGAAAAAUAUCAUAUUAUUUUGUGAACUCAUAAAGCUAUUUUGAGUUUUUGUAAAAUGAAAACCUUACCAAAAUGUAUUUUAUUGUUGGAAAGCUUGACCGUUACUGCUGUUUAAUUUUUUGAGCUUGUAAACUUUAUUUGUGCAUGUUUUCAACAAAGAAGGAUUUUAUUGUUAUUACAUAAAACAGGUGAUUUCUAGAUUUUAAAAUCACAAAUUGAAAGCAAGGCACAAUAAUAUAUAUUUCAAGAUAUAGGUACUUAGGAGGCAUCCUUUUAGUCAUCUGUUCAAUGUAGCCAUCUAUUUUACACCUACUGUCUACUAUUGUUUGAGGUCCUUGCCAAAGUAUUGCAGGCUAGUUAGGAAACAUAAAACAAUUAGAAAGUAAUCUAUGACAAGUAAGCUAUCUAUAAAUGGCAAUGAAGGGUAGAACAAAUUCAAUGAAAAUAUCUAUUUAAUCCUAGUGUUUACUGGUCUAGAAGAAUAGGCUGAGUAAAUUAGUAUUUCUCUGGCUGUUGUGGUAACACAUUGCAUGCUAUAACAGUUUUAAGUAAUUACAGGUGCAUUGAAAUUUAUCUAUGGCUUUGUCAUCAUAUUCUAAAAUGUCAUGAGUACUUUUUUCUGACCUCAAUUACUAUGAAAUUGGUUUCCAAUAUUUAAUUAACCAAGAAUAUCAAGUCUAUAGGGUAUUAUUAAGGUGAGACUUCUGUAGCCUUUUCAAUAAAGACCAGAAUUUUGGAGUGCCUUGAACCUUAAUCAUUGAUCUUUAAUUCUUAUUAAGUCAACUGCCCACCUUUUAAAGACUGAGGCCCAGGAAGAGUAAGUUUCUCUGAGACAAUGCAUACAGUACAGUGCUUCUUGGGUAUUGGCUCUAAGACCAGAUGCAAAGAAAGGCUAAAAUCCCAUUUCAUUGUUCAUUAGGUGAGAACCCUUUGUUAAGCUGUGUAACCUCUGUGCAUAGUUUCCUCAUCAGCAAAGUCAGAAAAAGUAUGUACCUGAAGGACUGAUUGUAAGGCUGGGAUGAGAGAAUCCAUGUGAUCAGCCCUCACCAACAGGUGCUGCCCAGUUCAUGAGUGCUGCUGCUGUCCUGCCCAAGUACCCAGCUUGCAGAGUGCCAGAGUUAGAGUCCCAGGGGUGUUCUCCACAGCUGCAUGCUUGAUCCAGGCCUAUCAGGUGUUAUUUGUUGACGGAACCAGGCAUCAUCAGCAAACAAAACUGACAAAGCUUCCUGCCCUCUGUGGAAGGCAUCUGAGGAAGAGACUGGAUUUUGUAGCAACAUGUUAUUCUCAUUAUAAACUUUAUCAUUGGAAUACUAAAGCCAAAUCAUCCCCCAUCUCCUUGAUCAGGAUACCCACUUAAUCUAGGCAGCUACACAAUUGUGAGAGCCUUUGUUUUUUUCUGCUGAAACAUCCUUAAAAAGAUACCUCACAACCCAAGAUUUGGCUUUUCUUAAAUACGAUUUUUAAUUUUUUUCAUUUCUAUCUAGAGAUUUAAUUGGAAAUGGAAAAUCAUCAAUUUUCCAAUUAAAUGUCUGUUCCAAUCAACAUUAUACCUUUUAGGUUGUCAUUGUCAUUUUUAAGUUUAAGCAACUUUAAGGAUUUUGAAUCUGGCUGCCUGUAAAUUAAAGGUGAAAGUAAUCAUUGUGUUGGAUUGGAACAUUUUGUCAAUUGAGAGUGGUUUCCUUGUUCUUAGUGUAUGAAAAGUUUAUUUUUCUAAUGU